RNAcentral lists this long non-coding RNA (4685 nucleotides) under Homo sapiens (human). RNAcentral describes it as "novel transcript". The record is from RNAcentral. Lineage: Eukaryota; Metazoa; Chordata; Mammalia; Primates; Hominidae.
UUCACCAUGUUGGUCAGGCUGGUCUCGAAUGCCUGACCUCAGGUGAUCCACCAGCCUUGGCCUCUGAAAGUGCUGGGAUUACAGAUGUGAGCCACCACACCCAGACGAACAUAGAUCAUUUUUUAAAAAAGUUUCACUGAGAUGAAGUUCAUAAAACAUAACAUCAAGUAUUUUAAAAAGAACAAUCAAGUGGUGUUUUGUACAUCCACAGUGUCUGAUCAUCAUGUGUAUUUAGCUCAAAAACAUUUUUAUUGCCCCCAAAGGAAGCUAUGCCCCAUGAAGCAAUCGCUCUCUAUUUUCCCCUCACCCCAACCCCUGGCAGUCACCAAUCUGCUUUCUGGUUCUAUGGAUUUGGCAAUUCUAGAUAUUUUAUACAAAUGGAUUUAUGCAAUACAUACUGUUUUGUGUCUGGCUUCAUUCACUUAGCAUAAUACUUUUGAAGUCCAUCCACAGUUUUGCAUGUAUUAGUACUUCAUUCUCUUUAUGGCUGAAAAUACUUCAUGCUAUGUAUAUACCACAGUUUGUUUAUUCAUCUGUUGACGGACAUUUGGGCUGUUUCCACCUUUUUGCUAUUUCAAAUGGUGGUGCUAUGAAGGUGUAUGUAGAUGGAUUUGUCUAGUCCCUGUUUUCAAUUCCUUGGCGGUAUAUUCGAGGUGUGGAAUUGUUGAACCAUAUGGUAAUUCUAUUUUGAGCUUCUUGAGGAACUGCCAAACUUUUCCUCAGAGGCUGAACCAUUUUAUAUUCAAUGUGCAAGUUUUCCAAUUUUGCCACAUCCUUGCCAACACUUGUCAUUUUCCGGGGUUUUGUUUUGUUUUGUUUUGUGAACACAGAUUUUGACUUUCAGCGUUCUUAUCUUAAGAGGUUACAGGAUUUGUCUUACAUUUUCCACUUGUAAUUUUUUUUAUCAUUAUAAUACUUGGCAUAUUUCAAGGCACGUGACUCAUAUCAUUAAAUGUUUUAUUGAUAAGUUUUCUCCAGAAAGUAUAAAUUCUCAUGAAGUGCUCACAGAUCUUAAUAACAAUAAAAUUUCAAAAUAUUGUUUAAACAAAGUUAGUUGUAAUUCAUUUUCAAGUUUAAGAAUCACAGUUGAAAUAACAGCUGAAUCUCUUUAUAAUUCUCAUUCUAGGAGAAAUAGGAAGGCUGCAGUGCCCAUCUGCGAGGGUUGAUGUGGAGGUGUUUACUUCCUUGGGUAGGAUAUUGGACAAGAUGGUUGCUAACGUCCUUUCCAACUAUGUUUUUAAAAUUAGAAUUUGAAUAUUUAUGGAGGCCUUUCUGAGAAAGUACAAAGCCCUGAGAAUAUUGUAAUGCAUAUGGAUUUUGCUAUCUUGUUACAUAGAGGAGAAUGGGAGCUGAUGACCCCAAAUCCAACCAAGAUGGGGUGUUACAAGUCAGAAGGUUAAGGGUCACUGCUCUGUGUGUUACCAGUGGAGGGUGUCCAGGUUCUUGGCAUCUUGAACAAAGAACUGGACAGAAUGCACAAACAAAACAAAGAAUGAAGCAACAAAAGCAGAGAUUUAUUGAAAAUGAAAGUACACUCCACAGGGUGGGAGCAGGCCUGAGCAUAGGGGGUCAAGAGCCUGGUUACAGAAUGUUCUGGUUUGAAUACCCUCUAAAGGUUUCCCAGUGGCCACUUGGUGUACGCUUCAUGCAAAUGAAGUAGUAGACUGCAGUCAGUUUGAUUGGUUGUGGAGAGCAACCAAUAAGAGGCUAAAGUGAAGUUACAAAGUUACACUUCUAUGCAAAUGAAGACUUGGCCCCAAUCAGUCUGAUUGGUUGCAGAAGGCAACCAAUUAGAGGUACUUUGAAUUUUCCAUCUGCCAUGCAGAAAAGGUGGGGGCGAUUUGCAAAGGGAAUAGCCUCUGGUCCUUUUGUUACUUAGGUGUGGAAAGUUGGGGUUUUCCUUAUGAUUUAGUUCUAAGAAGUCAGUGUGAUUCAGCCAUAGGUUUCCUGCCUCCAGAACCUAUUCUCCUGCCUCAUGUGGAGAGCCUGAGAGUAUAACAGGAAUGAAUAUUAUACAUAUGGAAACUCUUUGAGACACCCCUUUUGGCUUACUGUGAUAUCAGCCUGCUGAAGCCUUCCAUCAGCAUUCUCAAACCGCCGUGUAAGAAGUACCUUUCACCUUCCACCAUGAUUGUGAGGCCUCCCCAGCCACGUGGAAAUGGCAGGUGCAGAGGAUCCAGCAUGUUAUUCUGAAACCCCAGAAGACGCUGCAGCUACCAAAUAGAAGGAGCCUGGAUCCCUGAAUGUCUUCAUGGAACAGAACAUUCUCCUCACUCCAGUCUGUUUGAACCAGAAUAUGACCUGAGCAAGAAAUAAGCCUUAAUUAUAUUUGACCAUAGAAUUCUGGUGAUAUUUCUAUGGCUGUAAGUCCAUGUUGAUUAAUACAAAGGGAUGCUGUAAAGCCUCUUCUAUUAAAAAAAGUUGCCCAAGGAGUGAAAGGAGAGAUAUUUUCUGUAAUUAAGAUUUUCAUAAUACAUAGAACAGGCUAUAGCACCUGGCAAUCAAUCAUAUGGGGUACAACAGAAAGAGGAAACAUUCCUGCUAUUAAAUUAACCAAACUGGAGUUCUUGUUAUAUAAUAUAGUAAAAUUUCCUCAAUCUUUCAGCCACCUUUAGUUCUGUAAUCUAUUAUUUCUGGGUAAAAGCAUACCAUUUGAUACACAAUCCAAACCCAAUUCUUAAUUAAUAACGUGUAUCCACUGUAUCUUACCACAUCCCAAAUCAUCUAAUACUUAACCACCUAGUUUCUAUGUUCCACUUACAUCAAACAUAUUCAUGUUUGGAAAAUUGAGCCAGCAUCUACUGCCUUAUCAGCUGAUGCAUAACAAUUUACUUUGUCUGUGCUCUAUAAUAAUGCAAGUCUGCUUGGAAAGAUAACACGUUAAAGGGUUAUCAGACCCUAACACCUUCGUAUAGAUGAAUUUAUCAGAUCCUCUGCUAAACCACUUUCGAAUCCUUGGCCAGUUCUCUACAUUUCAUGAAGAGUUAGCAUAGCCAGUCCAGGAGAUAUUAUCUUCAGGAUGUGGUCAGUUGUGGAAAGGAAGAUAGCUCUGAGGAUCUCUUUCCAGGGAAAAGAAAGACAUGAGGAUUGCUCCAAAGAUCCUCUUUCUGGGGGAAAACGCACAUACUACAGAAAGGCUACAGAAAAAAAAGCACUCCCUCAGCAACAUAUUCACAAUCUAUUUUGUUGGAAUUACAGGCCAAUCCUUUUCAGACAGUUGAGUCCAGAGAGGACUGGGAGACUGCCUGACCCCAUGGGGUGCUUGACAAGGUCAGAUUCCAGGGCCUGGUAGGCUGUUAAAACCAAAGGGGGCCAGUGCUCAUGGACAGUGAGUUAAGAGGCUCCUGACACUGGGGGUCCUUUCAGAGCACAUACAGAAGGAGGAGUGUCCUUCUGUUACACAACCUGAAUUACUGGAGAAGGGCCCGCUGGUGUCGUUCUCCUCAAUACAAUGCACCUCCUACAAUGCACCUCCACUUCUGGGAGAGGGGAAGGGGGAAAAAGAGACAGAGAAGGAGGGAGAGAGAGAGAGAAAGAGAGCGCUGUCUCCCUCCCUUCCUUCUUCCUUCCCUUCUCUCUUUCCCUUCCUCUUAUCUCUCUGUGGAUCUCUUUCAAGUAUUCCUAGAAGAAUCUGGAGCUAAAAUGAGCCUGCGUCUGAAUUUUACUCCUGGCUCUGCAACUGAUAAGCUAUGUAAUCAAGUCCCUUCCCUGCUUCUUUCUUUCUCACACACACACACACACACACACACACAGUCUCUCAUCAAAUGCUUUGUGGGUUCUUACUCUGACAAGCCAGGCAUUGUGCUAGUUACAGGAGAUAAUCUGAAAGAAAAUAGCUCCUUCUUAUAAAAUGAUGAUAGACCAGGUGAUCUCACAGGUAUAUGUUGAUGAUGGCUAGUUUAGUCUUGCUAGCUCUGCUCAUGCACCUCCCUCCUUCAAUCAUGUACCUCCCUCCUUCAAAUCAAUAUCCUCACCUGCUUUCCCAAAGCCCUCUUGCUAUUCCUUCUCCCUCUGAGGUACCAUUUUUAGCCUAGUAUCAAAAGGCACCACAGCUCUUUCCGUCCCCCACGCCACCCAUCCUCUUCCCCAGCAUCAACACCAAGCUGCCCUGAAUGCUAUGCUUUCACUCUUUCCAUCAGCAUGCAGUUACUAAUCCCUUAAUGUGACCGGAGCAGAAGUCUAAAUAACUGCUCCAUAAUCCCCUAGUAUUUGAGCAUCCAAAAUAACAUUUGCAUUUUCAUCAGGGUCUUAAAUGGUCUGGUGGCUUUCUUUUUAUAAAUUAGUAAUUUAAGUAUUUAUUUUUUAAAAAUUCAAACACAGAUAUAGAUAUGUUUAUGUAGGACUACAUAAAGAUUUAUAAUUUUAUAGAAUUACAUAAACGUGAUUAUAUUAUAUAUAGCUUUUCAUUUUCUUUCUCUCUCUCUUUCUUUUCUUUGUAUCUUCUUCCUCUCUCCAACCUCCUCCAUACUAAUAAUUCUCAGCCACAAAUCCUCCACAAAACCAUGGAACCCAUGUUAACCUUUUAUGUAUCCUUCCAUAUUUUUCUCUAUUUGUCUAGACUCACACCAGUGUCUAAUGACAUAUGUGAAGGGAUGUUCUUGGAGUACUCUUGUUCGUGGCAAAGAAUGAUUGAAUGAAUUCUGGUACAAUAAUAUAUUUCAGUUAGGCUAGGCUGCUUGUUGAUA